AUGCACGCUGGCGGCGUGCCUAAUACAUGCCAGUCGAGCGAACAGACGAGGAGCUUGCUCCUCUGACGUUAGCGGCGGACGGGUGAGUAACACGUGGAUAACCUACCUAUAAGACUGGGAUAACUUCGGGAAACCGGAGCUAAUACCGGAUAAUAUAUUGAACCGCAUGGUUCAAUAGUGAAAGACGGUCUUGCUGUCACUUAUAGAUGGAUCCGCGCCGCAUUAGCUAGUUGGUAAGGUAACGGCUUACCAAGGCAACGAUGCGUAGCCGACCUGAGAGGGUGAUCGGCCACACUGGAACUGAGACACGGUCCAGACUCCUACGGGAGGCAGCAGUAGGGAAUCUUCCGCAAUGGGCGAAAGCCUGACGGAGCAACGCCGCGUGAGUGAUGAAGGUCUUCGGAUCGUAAAACUCUGUUAUUAGGGAAGAACAAAUGUGUAAGUAACUAUGCACGUCUUGACGGUACCUAAUCAGAAAGCCACGGCUAACUACGUG
This 496-nucleotide ribosomal RNA is filed under the name uncultured bacterium. RNAcentral describes it as "partial 16S ribosomal RNA". It matches the Rfam family "Bacterial small subunit ribosomal RNA", at positions 29 to 507 of the family's 1533-position model. The record is from RNAcentral.